AAGGAAUAUUGGUCAAUGGGCGGAAGCCUGAACCAGCCAUGCCGCGUGCAGGAUGACUGCCCUAUGGGUUGUAAACUGCUUUUGUCCAGGAAUAAACCUUUCUACGUGUAGGAAGCUGAAUGUACUGGAAGAAUAAGGAUCGGCUAACUCCGUGCCAGCAGCCGCGGUAAUACGGAGGAUCCGAGCGUUAUCCGGAUUUAUUGGGUUUAAAGGGUGCGUAGGCGGCCUAUUAAGUCAGGGGUGAAAUACGGUGGCUCAACCAUCGCAGUGCCUUUGAUACUGAUGGGCUUGAAUCCAUUUGAAGUGGGCGGAAUAAGACAAGUAGCGGUGAAAUGCAUAGAUAUGUCUUAGAACUCCGAUUGCGAAGGCAGCUCACUAAGCUGGUAUUGACGCUGAUGCACGAAAGCGUGGGGAUCGAACAGGAUUAGAUACCCUGGUAGUCCACGCCCUAAACGAUGAUAACUCGAUGUUGGCGAUAGACAGCCAGCGUCCCAGCGAAAGCGUUAAGUUAUCCACCUGGGGAGUACGCCCGCAAGGGUGAAACUCAAAGGAAUUGACGGGGGCCCGCACAAGCGGAGGAGCAUGUGGUUUAAUUCGAUGAUACGCGAGGAACCUUACCCGGGCUUGAAAGUUAGUGAAGAGUGCAGAGACGCACUCGUCCUUCGGGACACGAAACUAGGUGCUGCAUGGCUGUCGUCAGCUCGUGCCGUGAGGUGUUGGGUUAAGUC
Molecule: ribosomal RNA, 728 nt
Filed under: uncultured bacterium
Lineage: Bacteria
Description: bacterial SSU rRNA
Rfam family: Bacterial small subunit ribosomal RNA
Source: RNAcentral